Ceratosolen solmsi marchali is the source of this 144-nucleotide long non-coding RNA. RefSeq lists it as uncharacterized. NCBI's taxonomy places the organism in Eukaryota, Metazoa, Arthropoda, Insecta, Hymenoptera, Agaonidae. The record is from RefSeq and is a predicted model, not a curated record. The transcript has 3 exons.
AAUAUUAUUUUCUCUCAUUUCUAUAUUAAUGGCAGAAGAAACUCUGGACGAAUGCUUGAAAAGAUGCUCUCUUGCUCCUGAUAAAUACAAACGGGAGGGAUGCGAAUGGGAUUGCCAUGAUAGAUUGGGAGGGUGAGUAUAAAU